Molecule: ribosomal RNA, 445 nt
Filed under: uncultured bacterium
Lineage: Bacteria
Description: partial 16S ribosomal RNA
Rfam family: Bacterial small subunit ribosomal RNA
Source: RNAcentral
CCUACGGGUGACAGCAGUCGAGAAUCAUUCACAAUGGGGGAAACCCUGAUGGUGCGACGCCGCGUGGGGAAUGAAGGUCUUCGGAUUGUAAACCCCUGGCAUGUGGGAGCAAAUUAAAAAGAUAGUACCACAAGAGGAAAAGACGGCUAACUCUGUGCCAGCAGCCGCGGGAAUACAGAGGUCUCAAGCGUUGUUCGGAAUCACUGGGCGUAAAGCGUGCGUAGGCUGUUUCGUAAGUCGUGUGUGAAAGGCGCGGGCUCAACCCGCGGACGGCACAUGAUACUGCGAGACUAGAGUAAUGGAGGGGGAACCGGAAUUCUCGGUGUAGCAGUGAAAUGCGUAGAUAUCGAGAGGAACACUCGUGGCGAAGGCGGGUUCCUGGACAUUAACUGACACUGAGGCACGAAGGCCAGGGGAGCGAAAGGGAUUAGAUACCCGUGUAGUC